UACAGAAGAUGCAAACGUUGUUCGGAAUUACUGGGCGUAAAACGCGUGUAGACGGCGUCGUUAAUCGAAUGUGAAAGCCCUCGGCUCAACCGAGGAAGUGCAUCCGAUACUGCGACGCUUGAGUGUUAAAAAGAAUGGCGGAAUUCCCGAUAUAAAGGUGAAAUUCGUAGAUAUCGGGAAGAACACCUGUGACGAAGGCGGCCACCUGGACAACAACUGACGCUGAGACGCGAAAGCGUGGGUAGCAAACAGG
Molecule: ribosomal RNA, 253 nt
Filed under: uncultured bacterium
Lineage: Bacteria
Description: partial 16S ribosomal RNA
Rfam family: Bacterial small subunit ribosomal RNA
Source: RNAcentral